GAUGAACGCUGGCGGCGUGCCUAAUACAUGCAAGUCGAGCGAACAGACGAGGAGCUUGCUCCUCUGACGUUAGCGGCGGACGGGUGAGUAACACGUGGAUAACCUACCUAUAAGACUGGGAUAACUUCGGGAAACCGGAGCUAAUACCGGAUAAUAUAUUGAACCGCAUGGUUCAAUAGUGAAAGACGGUUUUGCUGUCACUUAUAGAUGGAUCCGCGCCGCAUUAGCUAGUUGGUAAGGUAACGGCUUACCAAGGCAACGAUGGGUAGCCGACCUGAGAGGGAGAUCGGCCACACGGGAACUGAGACACGGUCCAGACUCCUACGGGAGGAAGCAGUAGGGAAUCUUCCGCAAGGGGCGAAAGCCUGACGGAGCAACGCCGCGUGAGUGAUGAAGGUCUUCGGAUCGUAAAACUCUGUUAUUAGGGAAGAACAAAUGUGUAAGUAACUAUGCACGUCUUGACGGUACCUAAUCAGAAAGCCACGGCUAACUACGUG
This 497-nucleotide ribosomal RNA is filed under the name uncultured bacterium. RNAcentral's name for it is "partial 16S ribosomal RNA". It matches the Rfam family "Bacterial small subunit ribosomal RNA", at positions 28 to 507 of the family's 1533-position model. The record is from RNAcentral.